Non-coding RNA from Vicugna pacos (alpaca), 652 nucleotides. Lineage: Eukaryota; Metazoa; Chordata; Mammalia; Artiodactyla; Camelidae. The record is from RefSeq and is a predicted model, not a curated record.
CACAUAGGCAGCAGGGGACGGGAUGCAGCCUUGGGGCAGUGAUGGCCUCCGACACAUCCCACACGUGGUGGCCUCGAGCAUGAACACAUCAGAGCAGAGCAUUGGUCAUGCUUUUGAGGCUGAACACACUGAGCAGGCAACCAUUCAUACACUGCUGGGUUGCUCUAUCCAUUCAGUGACUCAGUGAGUGUCAACUGUAUUCAGCUUGAUAAGCUAGGUGGUUACUGGAGACUGCAAGUCAGGGCAACUGGAGACACGAAAGCUUGCCACUGAGGAGCAUGGAAAACUCUAAACUUCAGAAGGGCACUAAAGGAGGAUCAUUUCAGCACAGAAGUAAAACAGGAGGAGGAGACCCAAGUCUCAGUGAGCCUAUGUGAGUCUAUGCCUGGACAGAAAGAGGAGCUGAGGUGAAAAGAGAUCAGAGGUUGAAAGCAGCCCCCACCUGCAACACACACAGACACACACACACACCUGCAUUCUGAAUGCUUCACUCAGAAACAUCUACCCAUUACAGAAAAAUAUAUUUGCAUUGUUGAAUAAGGGGAAAAAGGUCACAGCUUGCUGGUCUUUCCAAGCCUUCUGCUCCCUGCAAAAUGAUAGCCACCCAUAAGGCAUGCGGUACAAACACUCUCCCCGCCAGGCAGCCCGCCAC